RNAcentral lists this ribosomal RNA (253 nucleotides) under uncultured bacterium. RNAcentral describes it as "partial 16S ribosomal RNA". It matches the Rfam family "Bacterial small subunit ribosomal RNA", at positions 524 to 776 of the family's 1533-position model. The record is from RNAcentral.
GACGAAGGGGGCUAGCGUUGUUCGGAAUUACUGGGCGUAAAGCGCACGUAGGCGGCCUUUCAAGUCGGAUGUGAAAGCCCCGAGCUUAACUCGGGAACUGCAUUUGAUACUGUUGGGCUAGAGACCGGGAGAGGAUAGCGGAAUUCCCAGUGUAGAGGUGAAAUUCGUAGAUAUUGGGAAGAACACCAGUGGCGAAGGCGGCUAUCUGGACCGGUACUGACGCUGAGGAGCGAAAGCGUGGGGAGCGAACAGG